Molecule: ribosomal RNA, 232 nt
Filed under: uncultured bacterium
Lineage: Bacteria
Description: partial 16S ribosomal RNA
Rfam family: Bacterial small subunit ribosomal RNA
Source: RNAcentral
GAUCCUGGCUCAGGAUAAACGCUGGCGGCGCACAUAAGACAUGCAAGUCGAACGAACUUAACCAUUAGUUUACUAUUGGAGCGGGUUAGUGGCGGACUGGUGAGUAACACGUAAGCAACCUGCCUAUCAGAGGGGAACAACAGUUAGAAAUGACUGCUAAUACCGCAUAUGCCUUAGAAUCACAUGGUUCAAAAAGGGAAAGGAGCAAAUCCGCUGAUAGAUGGGCUUGCGU